GACGAACGCUGGCGGCGUGCUUAACACAUGCAAGUCGAACGGAAAGGCCCUGCUUUUGUGGGGUGCUCGAGUGGCGAACGGGUGAGUAACACGUGAGUAACCUGCCCUUGACUUUGGGAUAACUUCAGGAAACUGGGGCUAAUACCGGAUAGGAGCUCCUGCUGCAUGGUGGGGGUUGGAAAGUUUCGGCGGUUGGGGAUGGACUCGCGGCUUAUCAGCUUGUUGGUGGGGUAGUGGCUUACCAAGGCUUUGACGGGUAGCCGGCCUGAGAGGGUGACCGGCGACAAUGGGACUGCGGGACGGCCCAGAAUCCUACGGGAGGCAGCAGUGGGGAAUAUUGCACAAUGGGCGGAAGCCUGAUGCAGCAACGCCGCGUGCGGGAUGACGGCCUUCGGGUUGUAAACCGCUUUCGCAUGUGACGAAGCGUGAGUGACGGUAAUGGGUAAAGAAGCACCGGCUAACUACGUG
This 468-nucleotide ribosomal RNA is filed under the name uncultured bacterium. RNAcentral describes it as "partial 16S ribosomal RNA". It matches the Rfam family "Bacterial small subunit ribosomal RNA", at positions 28 to 507 of the family's 1533-position model. The record is from RNAcentral.